This 460-nucleotide ribosomal RNA is filed under the name uncultured bacterium. RNAcentral describes it as "partial 16S ribosomal RNA". It matches the Rfam family "Bacterial small subunit ribosomal RNA", at positions 338 to 795 of the family's 1533-position model. The record is from RNAcentral.
CCUACGGGUGGCAGCAGUGAGGAAUAUUGGUCAAUGGGCGGAAGCCUGAACCAGCCAAGUCGCGUGAGGGAAUAAGGCCCUACGGGUCGUAAACCUCUUUUGCCGGGGAGCAAGGGCGGGGACGUGUCCCGGCCCGGAGAGUACCCGGAGAAUAAGCAUCGGCUAACUCCGUGCCAGCAGCCGCGGUAAUACGGGGGAUGCGAGCGUUAUCCGGAUUUAUUGGGUUUAAAGGGUGCGUAGGUUGUUUUUUAAGUCAGCGGUGAAAGUUUGUGGCUCAACCAUAAAAUUGCCGUUGAAACUGGAAGACUUGGGUGUGUUUGAGGUAGGCGGAAUGCGUGGUGUAGCGGUGAAAGGCAUAGAUAUCACGCAGAACUCCGAUUGCGAAGGCAGCUUACUAAGCCAUAACUGACACUGAAGCACGAAAGCGUGGGGAUCAAACAGGAUAGAUACCCUUGUAGUC